Molecule: unclassified non-coding RNA, 321 nt
Filed under: Thinopyrum intermedium
Lineage: Eukaryota; Viridiplantae; Streptophyta; Magnoliopsida; Poales; Poaceae
Description: non-transcribed spacer
Source: RNAcentral
UUUUUAAUUUUUUUUGCGCGUCGUCUCAAACAAAACGCACGUGCGUGACAUAUAUUAACCCCGUUUUCUUAUUUUCCAUGUUUGCGGUACGUUUUCGCUCGCUGCUCAUUAUUCACGCGUCUAGCGGCGGCGUUGUGGCGCGGUUCUGAAAGGGGUCGAGGCCGUGGUAAAUACGUGGUGGUGCGGUUGAGAGGGAGGGGUGGAAACCGUGGUAAACUCGUCUCCGCAGUUGAGCGGGAGUGGCCAAAAACAAUGUGCAAUCGUCUUUGUAGUGGAGCUGGGAGGGGCAAGCAUAAGGGACGAAGGCAGGGGUAACAUGUC